AAACCAACAGGGAUUGCCUCAGUAACGGCGAGUGAAGCGGCAACAGCUCAAAUUUGAAAUCUGGCCUCCCGGGGUCCGAGUUGUAAUUUGUAGAGGAUGUUUUGGGUACCGCCCCGGUUUAAAUUUCUUGGAACAGAAUGUCAGAGAGGGUGAGAAUCCCGUCUUGGACCGGUGGUAGGGCCUGUGUAAAACUCCUUCGACGAGUCGAGUUGUUUGGGAAUGCAGCUCAAAAUGGGUGGUAAAUUUCAUCUAAAGCUAAAUAUUGGCCAGAGACCGAUAGCGCACAAGUAGAGUGAUCGAAAGAUGAAAAGAACUUUGAAAAGAGAGUUAAACAGUAUGUGAAAUUGUUGAAAGGGAAGCGCUUGCAACCAGACUUGAGCGCGACGGUUCCCCUAGCCUUUUGGCUAGGUUACUCCGUCGUGUCCAGGCCAACAUCGGUUCUGAGGGUCGGUCAAAGGCUCUGGGAAUGUAUCUACCCACGGGUAGACUUAUAGACCAGGGUGUCAUGCGACCUCUCGGGACCGAGGAACGCGCUUCGGCUCGGAUGUUGGCGUAAUGGUUGUCAGCGACCCGUCUU
Molecule: ribosomal RNA, 577 nt
Filed under: Cladophialophora carrionii
Lineage: Eukaryota; Fungi; Ascomycota; Eurotiomycetes; Chaetothyriales; Herpotrichiellaceae
Description: partial large subunit ribosomal RNA
Rfam family: Eukaryotic large subunit ribosomal RNA
Source: RNAcentral